GUAACUUCGAAGAAGAGGUGGGGGUCACCCAGGGGAGAAGAGAGAGGGUGUGUCACUACCCAGGCAACCUGUAUGAAGAAGGCAUUGUGCUAGGCUCUAAGGACAUAAAUGUGAAAGUGAGACACUGCUGACCUCAGGGAACUUCCAUUCUACUAUCUACGGAACAAAAUGUUCACAGGCAAAUAAAUAAUGCAUGAAAGGGAGAAAUGUGUAAGAAGAUCGGAAAGUCUGGAAGGAGUCAGAUUGUGAAGAGUUUAAAUUCCAAAGAGAAGAGACGACAUUUGAUUCAAGAAAUCAUAGGAAGCCACUGGAGUUUGUUGAAAAAGGGUGUGACGCUAUCAGACUUGAACUUUAGGAAAAUCACCUUGUUAGCUAUGGAGAGCAUAAAUUGGAAUGGGAAGCCAUUUGAGUCAAGGAGGCAGGAGACUAUUGCAAUGGUCCAAGUGAGAGGCGGUGAAGUAUAAUCUAGGAUAGGAAUCAUACUAGGAGAGAAGGGAAUAUAUAGAAAUGACCUGAAGGUAGACAUGACAAGAUUUGGCAGCUGAUUGGAUAUGAAUUGUUAAUAUAAAAUUAACAAGUUGAAAACUUAGGUCACUUGGUUCUUAAGAUCAUGGAAUAACUCUAGUGUUACGAAAAAUCUUAGCACAUUCCAUCAGGUUGGUGAAAACUUUGGUUAGAACAGAAAUCCUUGGGGCACAUAUGUUAAGUAAUGGAUUUGUGAUCUCAUCAAGGCUGGUACUUCCUCCAGGGAGGUAAAUCACAGCAUUUAUGCCUGCCUAUCUUGCGCUACUUUUAUCCACAUCAGUCCUCCGGAAUGGGUCCAUCCAACCAACCAAGGAGCCUUCCUCUAGGCCUCUUGACAUUGCAUAGAUUCCAGUGGUGUACUUGGGCUAUCCACCUCUUAUCUUUCACUCUCUUCAUUUCCCACCCAGACAUACUUUUAUUUCAUCAUGUGGCCAGGAACUUCAUCAUUCAGCAAAGAUCACCUCACCUUUAGUAUUCAUGCCUCAUCACUAUCUUUUGAUUAGAGGGUGGAAUGGGGAGCUCCUCCCCAAACUUCCUUUCAAGAAGGGCUCCAAGGCUCUCCCCAAGAAGCCAGCCAUACUCCUUUGGAUUUCUCCAUCAUAUCCUUUCAUGUACUGUCUUCCCCCAUUAGAUUGUAAGCACCUUGAGGGCAAGGACUGUCUUUCUUUUUCAUGUUUGUUUCCCCAAUGCUUGGC
Molecule: non-coding RNA, 1220 nt
Organism: Phascolarctos cinereus (koala)
Lineage: Eukaryota; Metazoa; Chordata; Mammalia; Diprotodontia; Phascolarctidae
Source: RefSeq, a predicted model, not a curated record